AGAGUUUGAUCAUGGCUCAGGACGAACGCUGGCGGCGUGCCUAAUGCAUGCAAGUCGCACGCAGCCACCUUCGGGUGGCUGAGUGGCGCACGGCUGAGGAACACGUGGGUACCUGCCCUCUCGUGGGGGAUAACCCGGCGAAAGCCGAGCUAAUCCCGCAUACGUUCCACCCACUCGGGUGGAAGAAAGCCUUAUAGCGCGGGAGGAGGGGCCUGCGGCCCAUCAGGUGGUCGGUGGGGUAACGGCCUACCGAGCCGAUGACGGGUAGCUGGUCUGUGAGGACAACCAGCCAGACUGGGACUGAGAAACGGCCCAGACUCCUACGGGAGGCAGCAGCAAGGAAUUUUCCCCAAUGGGCGCAAGCCUGAGGGAGCAACGCCGCGUGGAGGACGACGGCCUUCGGGUUGUAAACUCCUUUUGGGGGCGACGAUGAUGACGGUACCCCCCGAAUAAGCCCCGGCUAACUCUGUGCCAGCAGCCGCGGUAAGACAGAGGGGGCAAGCGUUGUCCGGACUGACUGGGCGUAAAGCGCGCGCAGGCGGUCACGGGCGUCGGUGCUGAAAGCUCGCCGCUUAACGGCGAGUGGCGUGCCGAUACGCCGUGACUGGAGGGCGGGCGAGGGUGGUGGAAUUGCCGGUGUAGUGGUGAAAUGCGUAGAGAUCGGCAGGAACACCAGUGGCGAAGGCGGCCACCUAGCCCGCACCUGACGCUGAGGCGCGACAGCGUGGGGAGCGAACUGGAUUAGAUACCCCAGUAGUCC
This 760-nucleotide ribosomal RNA is filed under the name uncultured Chloroflexota bacterium. RNAcentral describes it as "bacterial SSU rRNA". It matches the Rfam family "Bacterial small subunit ribosomal RNA", at positions 8 to 796 of the family's 1533-position model. Lineage: Bacteria; Bacillati; Chloroflexota. The record is from RNAcentral.